AACCUACGGGAGGCAGCAGUGAGGGAUAUUGGUCAAUGGGGGAAACCCUGAACCAGCAACGCCGCGUGAGGGAAGACGGUUUUCGGAUUGUAAACCUCUGUCCUCUGUGAAGAUAAUGACGGUAGCAGAGGAGGAAGCUCCGGCUAACUACGUGCCAGCAGCCGCGGUAAUACGUAGGGAGCAAGCGUUGUCCGGAAUUACUGGGCGUAAAGGGCGCGUAGGUGGGUGCUUAAGUCAGGUGUGAAAACUCUGGGCUCAACCUGGAGACUGCACUUGAAACUGGGUAUCUUGAGGGCAGGAGAGGA
RNAcentral lists this ribosomal RNA (305 nucleotides) under uncultured bacterium. RNAcentral describes it as "bacterial SSU rRNA". It matches the Rfam family "Bacterial small subunit ribosomal RNA", at positions 335 to 658 of the family's 1533-position model. The record is from RNAcentral.